CUUGGUCAUUUAGAGGAAGUAAAAGUCGUAACAAGGUUUCCGUAGGUGAACCUGCGGAAGGAUCAUUAAGAAUUGAUAAUACUUGUGAAAUUUACACAGCAAACAAUAAUCAUACAAUCAAAACAAAAAUAAUCAAAACUUUUAACAAUGGAUCUCUUGGUUCUCGUAUCGAUGAAGAACGCAGCGAAACGCGAUAUUUCUUGUGAAUUGCAGAAGUGAAUCAUCAGUUUUUGAACGCACAUUGCACUUUGGGGUAUCCCCCAAAGUAUACUUGUUUGAGCGUUGUUUCUCUCUUGGAAUUGCAUUGCUUUUCUAAAAUUUCGAAUCAAAUUCGUUUGAAAAACAACACUAUUCAACCUCAGAUCAAGUAGGAUUACCCGCUGAACUUAAGCAUAUCAAUAAGCGGAGGAAAAGAAACCAACAGGGAUUGCCUUAGUAACGGCGAGUGAAGCGGCAAAAGCUCAAAUUUGAAAUCGGCCACCAGGUCGAGUUGUAAUUUGUAGAUUGUAUCUUGAGAGCGGAUUAAAGUCUGUUGGAACACAGCGCCUUAGAGGGUGACAGCCCCGUAAAAUCUAUUCUCAUUGUAAGAUACUUUCGAAGAGUCGAGUUGUUUGGGAAU
Molecule: small RNA, 619 nt
Filed under: uncultured Galactomyces
Lineage: Eukaryota; Fungi; Ascomycota; Dipodascomycetes; Dipodascales; Dipodascaceae
Description: eukaryotic LSU rRNA
Rfam family: Eukaryotic large subunit ribosomal RNA (bases 354-619)
Source: RNAcentral